Molecule: ribosomal RNA, 433 nt
Filed under: uncultured bacterium
Lineage: Bacteria
Description: partial 16S ribosomal RNA
Rfam family: Bacterial small subunit ribosomal RNA
Source: RNAcentral
AGCGAACGCUGGCGGCAGGCCUAACACAUGCAAGUCGAACGAACUGUUCGGAGUUAGUGGCGGACGGGUGAGUAACACGUGGGAACGUGCCUUUUGGUUCGGAAUAACUCAGGGAAACUUGUGCUAAUACCGAAUGUGCCCUUCGGGGGAAAGAUUUAUCGCCAUUAGAGCGGCCCGCGUCUGAUUAGCUAGUUGGUGAGGUAACGGCUCACCAAGGCGACGAUCAGUAGCUGGUCUGAGAGGAUGACCAGCCACACUGGGACUGAGACACGGCCCAGACUCCUACGGGAGGCAGCAGUGGGGAAUCUUGCGCAAUGGGCGAAAGCCUGACGCAGCCAUGCCGCGUGAAUGAUGAAGGUCUUAGGAUUGUAAAAUUCUUUCACCGGGGACGAUAAUGACGGUACCCGGAGAAGAAGCCCCGGCUAACUUCGUG